UACGUAGGGUGCAAGCGUUAUCCGGAAUUAUUGGGCGUAAAGAGCUCGUAGGCGGUUUGUCGCGUCUGCUGUGAAAACUGGAGGCUCAACCUCCAGCCUGCAGUGGGUACGGGCAGACUAGAGUGCGGUAGGGGGAGACUGGAAUUCCUGGUGUAGCGGUGAAAUGCGCAGAUAUCAGGAGGAACACCGGUGGCGAAGGCGGGUCUCUGGGCCGAUACUGACGCUGAGGAGCGAAAGCGUGGGGGAGCGAACAGG
Molecule: ribosomal RNA, 255 nt
Filed under: uncultured bacterium
Lineage: Bacteria
Description: partial 16S ribosomal RNA
Rfam family: Bacterial small subunit ribosomal RNA
Source: RNAcentral